RNAcentral lists this ribosomal RNA (181 nucleotides) under Longidorus baeticus. Its description in RNAcentral is "5.8S ribosomal RNA". The stretch from base 16 to 167 matches the Rfam family "5.8S ribosomal RNA". Rfam says of the family: 5.8S ribosomal RNA (5.8S rRNA) is a component of the large subunit of the eukaryotic ribosome. It is transcribed by RNA polymerase I as part of the 45S precursor that also contains 18S and 28S rRNA. Lineage: Eukaryota; Metazoa; Nematoda; Enoplea; Dorylaimida; Longidoridae. The record is from RNAcentral.
GAAUCUAAGAGAUUCCGUUCUAAGCGGUGGAUCACUAGGCUCGCGGGUCGAUGAAGGACGGGGCCAGCCCCGAGAAUAAGUGCGAAUUGCAGACACAAAGAGCAUCGACUUUUCGAACGCACAUUGCGGUAUCGGGCCUGCUCGAUACCACGCCUAUCUGAGGGUCGAAUUAGAGAAAAAC